AGAGAGAAGCACAUAUAGAAAUGGAGAUAUCCUUCAACAGAAAGCCAGAAUACAGGAGCAUGCUGGAACAUCAUAGAGCUCCAAAAUAUUGUCUCAGGUUAUUCUAAUUUCAUCUUUCAGGAAGAUUGAAACUGAACUCUUGAAAAAAAACAACAAUAUGGAAAUCCAUCAAGAAGCCAAUGUAUAAUGAUAAAUUCAAUUUUCUUUCUGAAGGAAUAAACUCUAUGCUAUAUCAGCUGUACUUUACACACUGUAUAUUUCCAUUAAUUUACAAAGUUUUACAACUGUGAGCUGACAAAAAAAGAAAAGGAAAAAACUAAAACAACAAACCAAAAGAUAUGAGUGUAACUAGCAAAUUACAAUAAUUAAUAUGGGGAAGAUGUGAUCUUACUUUUCUCUGUAUUGUAUCCCUGAAUCUUCAGAAUUUUGUGUAAAAGUAAAAAGAUCCAAAAGACUGCACAGACUGUGUACUGAGGGCUCACAAAUUAUAUUUGUGGUGCCUUCCAAA
Molecule: long non-coding RNA, 508 nt
Organism: Manacus vitellinus (golden-collared manakin)
Lineage: Eukaryota; Metazoa; Chordata; Aves; Passeriformes; Pipridae
Exons: 3
Source: RefSeq, a predicted model, not a curated record